This 587-nucleotide ribosomal RNA is filed under the name Hymenogaster sp. 2015-1. RNAcentral's name for it is "eukaryotic LSU rRNA". The stretch from base 221 to 374 matches the Rfam family "5.8S ribosomal RNA". The record is from RNAcentral. Lineage: Eukaryota; Fungi; Basidiomycota; Agaricomycetes; Agaricales; Hymenogastraceae.
UGUUGCUGGNCNNNUGGGGGCAUGUGCACACCCCACCAUCCUCAUCUCUCCCCCUGUGCACCUCUUGUAGACUUGGGAUAAAACUUUCCGAGGCAACUCGGUCUGGAGGAAUGCUACCCCAAGCUUUCCUUGUAAUUAUUUCCUGGUCUACGUUUUUCAUAUACCCCAUAGUAUGUAACAGAAUGUAUCGUUUUGGCGCUUGUGCCUAUAAACCUUAUACAACUUUCAGCAACGGAUUUCUUGGCUCUCGCAUCGAUGAAGAACGCAGCGAAAUGCGAUAAGUAAUGUGAAUUGCAGAAUUCAGUGAAUCAUAGAAUCUUUGAACGCCCCUUGCGCUCCUUGGUAUUCCGAGGAGCAUGCCUGUUUGAGUGUCAUUAAAUUCUCAACCUUAUCAGUUUAUUUGUGAUAGUGGCUUGGAUGGUGGGGGUGCUGGCUCCUUUAUUGAGGUCAGCUCCCCUUAAAUGCAUUAGCUGGUGCCCUGUGUGGACUGUCUAUUGGUGUGAUAAUGAUCUACGCUAUGGAUGUCCUUAGCACUGCUUGUAACCGUCUGUUAAUUCGGACAAUACGAUGACAAUUUGACCUCAAAA